UUACUCAAGUAGUGUGAAAUUAGGAGGUUCUAGGGACAGAAGAAAAGCAAAAAAUGGGAAAUUGCAGAAUAUCCAAGAUUCAACAUUAACACUUAAUUGAAAACCACUGGAUUAGGAGUUCCUUGCUGGCUCAGUUGGUAGAGCAUGUGACUUUUGAACUUGGGGUCCUGAGUUUGAGCUCCAAAUUGUAUGUAGAGACUACUAAAAACAAAAUCAUAAAAAAAAAAAAAAAAAGAAAGAAAGAAAAAAAUGAUGAAAGCCAGUGGCUUAGAGGUCAAAGAAAGGAUGGGCAAAAUAAAAAAGUCUAAAAGAAUUAGAGAGGCUCUACCUGGGAAGGUAAAAUGGGACAAAUAUGAAUGGCCAGGCAAACUCCAGAGCCGUCUGGUUGGUGACCUGGAAAUGCCAGGCUAUGAGUUUCAUUAAUCGACAAGAAGGCAUUGAGUGUGCCCAACGUGUUCUUGAGCUUUCUUAAAUACCCAGGAACCUGGGCAGUGAUUAUACUGUCCUGUCUGGGGCAUUUUCAUGUUUCAGGUGAAAUCAGCAGAGGAGACCGGUUCUGUUUUUCUUUUGCAUCACUGAUAACUCGAUACUUUAGAACCUGACAGACCAUGAUUCUUUCGCAACUGGGAGCUGGAGAUGGUUGUGAGCUGUCAGUGGGAACCUGAAGCCAAGGAUUCCCUAGGGCCUUAAAAUCUUUCUGAAUUUAUCCCCACAGCAGUGCAGAUGGGUAAAGCAGAUGGGUGGAAGAAAUGCCUGGGGGCCCACCAAGCACACGUGCAAAUCCUUUUGCAUGGCUGGGAAACCACAGUAGCAAAUAUACCGAUAAAGUCACGAUGUGUCCUUAUGGGACAAGCUACCUGAGAUGGAGAAGCAUUAGCUAUGUAAGUGUAAUGUAAAGAGAAAAAUACUUUUUGAAUAUGCAGUAUGAACAGUGAGGUGGUAUGGUUAGCAUUUAAGUGUACAGCUUCAAAAUUACCAAUGUGACCAAUGCCCCAAAAAAAAAAACCCAAGAACAGCAGCCCUCAUCAAAAUAACCUCCUUCAUGAAAACUACCAUACUGAUGCCUGGACCCCACCCUAAACCACUGUAAUCAGAAUAUUUGAUAUCAGUGGAGGUGGAGAACCCAGUCAAGGAAAUCAAAGCAUGAAUGUCAAUGAGUGCCCUUAAGGAACCAGCCUUCUCUCUGGCUACCCUUCCCAUGUACCACCUCAUAUGUACCCAUUCCUGAGCACUGUUAGUUCCAAAACACCAUCCUUUCUCAUAAUCAAUUCAAGUGUUUCAGAUGCUGGACAGGUUCUUUGCUCUUCUCCGGUGGGGGUAAAUCCAUCAUCCUUCCAGGCCUGUCUCCUCCUUUGGGAGGCCUUCCCUAGACUACUUCCAUCUUCACAGCCUUACUCUCUACUUCCAGAGCUUAUUCUUGCUUUAGCUUUCAGGGUCUCGUACCCUGCCCUGGGGUAGUACUGUGAGCUGAGAUGGCCAAGGGUAGGGACUUGUCUUACCCAUGCAUCCUUAAGCACAGGACCUGGCACAGGGCAGGUGGUAAGCAUUGAAUGAACAGUUCUGUGUGCUCCUGUGCAUCUGAAUAUUAUUGACUAGCAGCCACAGGAAGGAGAACAGGUGGAAAUAAUCAGGCUGAUGGCUGGGCUGGAGAGGAUCAGGAAAGGAUCCAAACUGAUGAAUGACAGUGUAGUGAUUUUCUAGCAGGGAGACCCAUGCAUGUGAAGAUGUCCAAGGGCUUUGUGGAAAUGGGAAUAUUUUUUAAAAAGAUUUUAUCCAUUCAUGAGAGAGAGAGAGAGAGAGAGAGAGGCAGGGGAGAAGCAGGCUCCAUGCAGGGAGCCUGACGUAGGACUCGAUCCCAGGUCUCCAGGAUCAGGCCCCGGGCUGAAGGCGGCGCUAAACCGCUGAGCCACCUGGACUGCCCGAAAUGGGCACUUUUAAUGCAUUUCUGGAUCUUCAAUUUCCCAGACAUACUCUUUCCUAACAUUACAGGAUCUCCUUUGUCACUUUUGCUUGUAGAACCACCCUUCUCCUCUCCCACUUCUCAAAAGAAAACACACCCCUCACCCAUUCUAAAUCUAAGGUCCACUGACCGUGGGUAUAAAAAUCUCCAGGGCUCCGAACAAAGGGAUGAUUUGAACUAUUUUUUGAAUCCCUUAUUACGGUGCUUAAUCAAGGUACCAUACUCCCAAACCCUGAAACUUUCUAUCUUUUCUGGUCCUAUUGUUAUGCUGAAGGUGAACUGUGGUGUUAGGAAUGGAACACACUGGCCCUUGUAAGGACAUUAUGAAAUCAGAUACGUGUAUUAUAAAGCACUGGGGGUGGCAGUAAUGCCAGUUUUUCUGACCUCACCUUUUCCACUCCCCAAUUAUUAUCAAAAGAAUGAAUGACUCAUGAGGGAGAUUGAUGAUGGAAAAUUGGACCAUCAGAAUGUUCUCCCUGCAGUCUGAGGCUCAUGUUUCAAUUUUUGGAGUAGUGUCUUUAGAAGAACAAAAUUUUAAUUUUGAUGACAUCCAGUUUAUUAUUUUAUCUUCUAGUUUGGGAUUUUUUGUGUGUGUCCUAUUAAAGAAAUCUUUGCUAAAUAUAGGGUCUUUAAGAAUUUUUCUGUUUUCUCCUAGAAUUUUCAUAAUUUUUGAAGAUUUUAUUUAUCUGAGAGAGAGAGAGCACAAGUGAGGGGAGAGAGGGGCAGAGGUAGAAGCAGACUUGCCCACUGAGCAGGGAGCCCGAGGCAGGGCUCAAUCCCAGGACCCUGAGAUCAAGACCUGAGCCAAAGGCAGAUGCUUAACUGACUGAGCCACCUGGGCAUCCCUAGACUUUUUGUAAUUUUAACCAUUAUGUUCAGGUGUAUGAUUCAUUUUGAAUUAAUUUUGUACUACAGUUAGUUACAUAGGGAAAAAUUAAAAAGAAAUAAAUGGAAAGAUAUUUUCAUGGGAAAAAAGGAAAAUCAGAGCAUCAGUAAGAGAGAUUAACCAUCUAAAUGGUGCUUUUUUUGAUCGAGUAUUUAAGCAAAAGCAAUUGUUUUCAGCUACUCUCAAGAAUAAUCCUUAGUAUUAGUUUGCUGGUUAGAAAAGCACCACCAAACAACUGAAACAGCGCAGGCCACUAUUGUAGUGCUUUUGGAGACAACCACAGUUUUCAAAUUUCACCAGACAAAACCUGUGGUCAUUUUUUACCUGACUUCUUUGAGAUUUGGUGUGUAUUACACAAAAAGGUAUUUAAAACAUUUUAAUCCAGGCAUAUAAAAUAUUCCAAUUACAGUCUUGAACUUACUUCAUCUUUGAAAAUAUUUGUAUGCACUACUUCAUGUUAGCAAAAAAAUAAAUAAAAUUUAUACUAUACACCAGAUCAAUUAAUUUUUAGCUAUACUUACUCUUUCACUAGAUACUUUGAAUAAGUUUGAUUAAUAUGUCUAACAAAAUUAAUGGAAUUACUUUUUAAUUUUAUACAUGAUUUGUAUUUAUUUCCAAACACCAGAGUUCAGUGUACAUACACAUACAUAUGUACCAAAGGAGUACCAUUCCUUUUAAGCAUCCCCUUUGCUUCAUGAAUAACUUAAAUUUGUAGCUACAUAUUGCAUAAGUAAGUGAGAAAAAUUUACAUAAUGAAAAUUUUCUAUUAGCACAAGAGCAUUUUAAUCUUAAUUGCUUUUACAAGAUUUGUUGCAUUAUUUAUCUCUUGGUGGUUUUUAUUCUAUUGGUCAAAAUGUGUUAACAUUUUAUUUGAAGAAUAAAGUCUGUUUUUUUUUUU
Molecule: long non-coding RNA, 3744 nt
Filed under: Canis lupus familiaris (dog)
Lineage: Eukaryota; Metazoa; Chordata; Mammalia; Carnivora; Canidae
Description: lncRNA (ENSCAFG00000053423.1)
Source: RNAcentral